AUUUUAAGAGAGAUUUUAAGAGAGGUUUUAAGGAAAAGUAGGAAAAAAAUAAAUCAGAAAGAAAAAAAAAGGAAGAACUCCUUUUAUAUAGUAUACUUGUUUUCAUAUAAGAGGUGAUGACGUGUCAGCGCGUGGUUGGUUAAAGAGUUUUAUCGAGAACAAAAUUUUUUUGGCCCGAUCGUGUUCUCUCUUCCUCUCUCUCUCGCUCUCUAUCGCGAACCUCUCAAUCCAAGGAGAUUGAAUCGGUCGGAAUCGUUGGAGAAGGAAUCGGACGAGAUUGGAAUCGGUCGGAAUCAUUGGAGAUGGAAUCAGACGAGAUUGGAAUCGGAGUCUAAUCAAUCAGAGGAGAUUGAAUCGAUUGGAAUCAGAGGAGAUUGAAUUGGAGGAGCUUGAACCUAUCUCUAAUGGACGCCUUAUGUACAAGAACAAGUUAAUAUUGGUUCAGGACCACCAAGUUCCAAAAUCAGGUGGUUUAGGUCUACCAGCAAUGAGUCACGUUACAUCAACACUGUUACUUUUGAUGCUAAGGAGUGCUCUCCCACUCUUGUGAUGGUUCAUGGUUAUGGUGCUUCUCAAGGCUUUUUCUUCAGAUAUUUCGAUGCUCUUGCUAGUCGAUUUAGGGUGAUUGCUAUCGAUCAACUUGGAAACUGAGGCAUGGUUUAUCGACUCCUUAGAGGAAUGGCUUAAAGCUCAGAAUCUCAGCAACUUUAUUCUAUUAGGACAUUCCUUUGGAGGUUACCUUGCUCUAGUAGACAUGAUGAGUAUGAACCUAAUUAAAGAGAUUCAGGCAGGUAAGAGAAACAGUCCGUGAUGUUGCAUUCAUGCACAAUGAGCAAUUUGUUUGUUUUAUGUUCAUGUUUUUAUUCUGUUUGUAUGUUUGAAAAUUAAUUAAAUGCGAUAUUUUCUA
Camelina sativa (false flax) is the source of this 907-nucleotide long non-coding RNA. RefSeq lists it as uncharacterized. Lineage: Eukaryota; Viridiplantae; Streptophyta; Magnoliopsida; Brassicales; Brassicaceae. The record is from RefSeq and is a predicted model, not a curated record.